This 124-nucleotide unclassified non-coding RNA is filed under the name uncultured Rozellomycota. Its description in RNAcentral is "uncultured Cryptomycota sequence contains ITS1". The record is from RNAcentral. Lineage: Eukaryota; Fungi; Rozellomycota.
CAAAUCAUUGUUGUGUUGUUGGGCCGGUUUGGUUUGGUAGAUUUUAUAUCUGCCAAGCCAUCUACUCAACAUCAACACUUGCGCGUGUUGUGUUUGACAGAGUAAAUUACUUUAUAAUUAAUGA